This is a small nuclear RNA of Physeter macrocephalus (sperm whale), 123 nucleotides long. The record is from Ensembl. NCBI's taxonomy places the organism in Eukaryota, Metazoa, Chordata, Mammalia, Artiodactyla, Physeteridae.
GUGUUUGAUGAAAGGAGAGGGUUAGCACUUUCCUUGACAAGGAUGGAUGUCAGCCCCAGGCCUGACAACACACAUAUGGUAAUGAAUUGCCACCUACUUGGUGACAUCUAACCAUGGUUUUUA